Molecule: long non-coding RNA, 1020 nt
Filed under: Anas platyrhynchos platyrhynchos (common mallard)
Lineage: Eukaryota; Metazoa; Chordata; Aves; Anseriformes; Anatidae
Description: lncRNA (ENSAPLG00000030211.1)
Source: RNAcentral
UUUGACAACAUUGACUGGAAUAAAUGAACUUUAGUCUCAAACAUUACUUUAAAAGCCAAUGACUUCCAAGUACAGACCAGUACUAAGGCUUAUGCUUGACUUCCUACUUCUGUCUUUGAACUCCAGAAUUGCCUUGAGUAUCACAGAGAAGAAGGUGGUUCUGUGCUGAGUUGGCUGCUGUUUAGCUGGGAUGGCUGAUAAGACAGUCACAGGUAGCAUAUGUACUUAGUGGGUGUAAUCAUUGCAUUUAAUGACAGUGCUGUGGGGAGAUACAACUUUGGGGGAGAUCAUCUUUAGGAAGAGACCUGAGAGGCAAUAAAUUAAUGUUUACUGGGUGAUCCUCUAACAAGUCACUGGAAGUUGUGACAGCUGGCUUCAUGGGAAGGGAUUUACUCUUGGUGCUAAAUGAGAGAUGAAGAAUGAACAGGUGGUGAAAUCCACCUGCGCUGAAACCACCGACAGCUGAAGCAGCAGAAAAGGAGUGUGUGUCAGUGGAGAGAGGCAAAGAGAGAGCUGAGAUUGUUAAAGAAGAGAAAAUGAUCGUUACAGAUGUUGUCUGAAUAAGCAUCACAUGAGGUUUUUCAUUUGAUCAGGAAAGGCAGAGCUGAAGAAAAGGUCUGGAAAUCAGCCCGUCUUCAUUUUGGACCUGUUAUGCCCGCUGGGGGAGAGGGUGAGGACAAGCAAAGAAUGGGAUAUUAAUGACUUUCCCAUCGCACCUGGAGCAGAACUGGAACACAGUAUGCUGGCUGCUCGGGAAGUGCGCUGAGAUUUCUCCUACAGACUUAGAUUCUAAUUUCAUUUCUAAUUUGGAAUGGCUCCCAGUGCUCUGCAAGGCCUGUCUAAAUGACUAGAAGAGGCAUUGCAUAGGAUAUUGUCUUCAUCACAGUGAAAAGGAAAUUACCAAGGUAACUCACUGCAUUCCUGGAAGCUUUAAUGAAUACUUAGCCAAUUUUGCCUUUGAACUGUGGCAUGAAAGCAGUCUUUGCAGCAGCCCCUUCACCUAUAUAAUAAUAAUUGGUA